This 433-nucleotide ribosomal RNA is filed under the name uncultured bacterium. Its description in RNAcentral is "partial 16S ribosomal RNA". It matches the Rfam family "Bacterial small subunit ribosomal RNA", at positions 29 to 507 of the family's 1533-position model. The record is from RNAcentral.
AACGAACGCUGGCGGCAUGCCUAACACAUGCAAGUCGAACGAGACCUUCGGGUCUAGUGGCGCACGGGUGCGUAACGCGUGGGAACCUGCCCUUAGGUUCGGAAUAACUCCCCGAAAGGGGUGCUAAUACCGGAUAAUGUCUUCGGACCAAAGAUUUAUCGCCUUUGGAUGGGCCCGCGUUGGAUUAGCUUGUUGGUAGGGUAAAAGCCUACCAAGGCGACGAUCCAUAGCUGGUCUGAGAGGAUGAUCAGCCACACUGGGACUGAGACACGGCCCAGAAUCCUACGGGAGGCAGCAGUGGGGAAUAUUGGACAAUGGGCGAAGGCCUGAUCCAGCAAGGCCGCGUGAGUGAUGAAGGCCUUAGGGUUGUAAAGCUCUUUUACCCGGGAUGAUAAUGACAGUACCGAGAGAAUAAGCUCCGGCUAACUCCGUG